AUGUGCAAAUGCACACUGCUGGAGCGCCCUUCAGCAACGAGGAGGCCCAAUGCGACACGGCCGCCGCCUGCGUCGGUUCUCCCCAGCACGACACGGCCGCCGCGGGCAUCGGUUCUCCCCAGCACAACCACUCUGAAGACGCCCAGCUUGGCCCAUACAAUUUGGAUUCUUUUGGAGACUGGAAACAACUUUAAAGCUACUUGUCACAAAGUGUCAUUGAACGCCUUGAGCCAAUUGGUGGCAAUUGCAUUGGAGACAUCAUGGAUGGAUAGAGCUCCCCAAAUGGAUAUGGGGAGACGAUUGAUGGAAACACUUAGAGAAGACAAAUUUGCCAAGAAAGCGCCUGCACACACUGAGAGGAGAGGAUGCUAUUACACAACUAUCCCGCUUCGCUUUGGAAUAUACAAUAAGGUCAAUCGGCAAUGGCUAGCAAUCAGGAUUAUUAGCUGUCCAAUCACCCAGAAACUUUGAGCUGAAAAUGGAUGGAUGGAUGCACGGUGUGAUAAGAUCAUGAAGAAAGUGUUUUGAAGAGUAUCCCGAGGUUGAGAACAUUUAUAGUGAAUUACAGGAAACAAAACGGUCUUACUCCAGUUCACAUCCAUG
Molecule: ribosomal RNA, 603 nt
Filed under: Triticum aestivum (bread wheat)
Lineage: Eukaryota; Viridiplantae; Streptophyta; Magnoliopsida; Poales; Poaceae
Description: partial small subunit ribosomal RNA
Source: RNAcentral